GAUGAACGCUGGCGGCGUGCCUAAUACAUGCAAGUCGAGCGAACAGACGAGGAGCUUGCUCCUCUGACGUUAGCGGCGGACGGGUGAGUAACACGUGGAUAACCUACCUAUAAGACUGGGAUAACUUCGGGAAACCGGAGCUAAUACCGGAUAACAUGUUGAACCGCAUGGUUCAACAGUGAAAGACGGUCUUGCUGUCACUUAUAGAUGGAUCCGCGCCGCAUUAGCUAGUUGGUAAGGUAACGGCUUACCAAGGCAACGAUGCGUAGCCGACCUGAGAGGGUGAUCGGCCACACUGGAACUGAGACACGGUCCAGACUCCUACAGGAGGCAGCAGUAGGGAAUCUUCCGCAAUGGGCGAAAGCCUGACGAAGCAACGCCGCGUGAGUGAAGAAGGUCUUCGGAUCGUAAAACUCUGUUAUUAGGGAAGAACAAAUGUGUAAGUAACUAUGCACGUCUUGACGGUACCUAAUCAGAAAGCCACGGCUAACUACGUG
This 497-nucleotide ribosomal RNA is filed under the name uncultured bacterium. RNAcentral describes it as "partial 16S ribosomal RNA". It matches the Rfam family "Bacterial small subunit ribosomal RNA", at positions 28 to 507 of the family's 1533-position model. The record is from RNAcentral.